GGAAUGGAACGUCGUAGAGGGUGANAAUCCCGUCUUUGACACGGACUACCAGGGCUAUGUGAUGCGCUCUCGACGAGUCGAGUUGUUUGGGAAUGCAGCUCAAAUUGGGUGGUAAAUUCCAUCUAAAGCUAAAUAUAGGCGAGAGACCGAUAGCGAACAAGUACCGUGAGGGAAAGAUGAAAAGAACUUUGGAAAGAGAGUUAAACAGUACGUGAAAUUGCUGAAAGGGAAACGCUUGAUGUCAGUCGCGUUCGCCGGGGAUCAGCCUUGCUUAACGGCUCGGCGUACUUCCUGGUGGACGGGUCAGCAUCAGUUUUGAUCGUCGGAAAAUGGCUUGAGGAAUGUGGCAUUCUUUCGGGAGUGUGUUAUAGACUUGAGUCGAAUACGAUGGUUGGGACUGAGGAACUCAGCACGACCUUAGGGUUCGGGACUUCGGUCUACGUUUGCGUGCUUAGGAUGCUGGCAUAAUGGCCUUAAGCGACCCGUCUUGAAACACGGACCAAGGAGUCUAACGUGCAUGCGAGUGUUUGGGUGUUCAAACCCGAGCGCGUAAUGAAAGUGAAAGUCGAGACCUCUGUCGUGGAGGGCACCGACGCCCGGACCGGAGCUUUUGCUAUGGAUCUGCGGUAGAGCAUGUAUGUUGGGACCCGAAAGAUGGUGAACUAUGCCUGAAUAGGGUGAAGCCAGAGGAAACUCUGGUGGAGGCUCGUAGCGAUUCUGACGUGC
Molecule: ribosomal RNA, 726 nt
Filed under: Rhizopogon rogersii
Lineage: Eukaryota; Fungi; Basidiomycota; Agaricomycetes; Boletales; Rhizopogonaceae
Description: eukaryotic LSU rRNA
Rfam family: Eukaryotic large subunit ribosomal RNA
Source: RNAcentral